ACGAAGGGGGCUAGCGUUGCUCGGAAUCACUGGGCGUAAAGCGCACGUAGGCGGCUUUUUAAGUCAGAGGUGAAAUCCUGGAGCUCAACUCCAGAACUGCCUUUGAUACUGGAGAGCUUGAGUCCGGGAGAGGUGAGUGGAACUGCGAGUGUAGAGGUGAAAUUCGUAGAUAUUCGCAAGAGCACCAGUGGCGAAGGCGGCUCACUGGCCCGGUACUGACGCUGAGGCGCGAAAGCGUGGGUAGCAAACA
RNAcentral lists this ribosomal RNA (250 nucleotides) under uncultured bacterium. RNAcentral's name for it is "partial 16S ribosomal RNA". It matches the Rfam family "Bacterial small subunit ribosomal RNA", at positions 525 to 774 of the family's 1533-position model. The record is from RNAcentral.